GUCCACGCCGUAAACGAUGGAUACUAGCUGUUGGAAGCAAUUUCAGUGGCUAAGCGAAAGUGAUAAGUAUCCCACCUGGGGGAGUACGAACGCAAGUUUGAAACUCAAAGGAAUUGACGGGGGCCCGCACAAGCGGUGGAGCAUGUGGUUUAAUUCGAUGAUACGCGAGGAACCUUACCAAGUCUUGACAUCCCGAUGACCGAUCCUUAACCGGAUCUUCUCUUCGGAGCAUCGGAGACAGGUGGUGCAUGGUUGUCGU
RNAcentral lists this ribosomal RNA (259 nucleotides) under uncultured bacterium. RNAcentral describes it as "partial 16S ribosomal RNA". It matches the Rfam family "Bacterial small subunit ribosomal RNA", at positions 793 to 1055 of the family's 1533-position model. The record is from RNAcentral.